This is a non-coding RNA of Mus musculus (house mouse), 346 nucleotides long. NCBI's taxonomy places the organism in Eukaryota, Metazoa, Chordata, Mammalia, Rodentia, Muridae. The record is from the annotation of a RefSeq genome assembly.
AUGAUGUCUCCUUCUCAACUUCUGCUGAUCUUACUAUUCUGAUUCCUGGGCCUGAUAUGUGACAUCCAGAUGACACAACUCCACCCUCCUUGUCUGUAUCUCUAGGAGACAGAGUCACCAUUUCUUGCAGGCCAGAUGAGGGUAUUAAUGAUUGGUGAGCCUGGUUUCAGUAGAAACCAGGGAAUGUUCCUAAAUUCCGAAUAUACCAUUCUAUCAGUGUGAAAUCUGGAGUUCCUUCAAGGUUCAGUGGCAGUGAAUUUGGUAAAGAUUUUAUUCUUACUGUUAACAAACUGCAAUGUGAAAAUAUUGCUACUUAUUACUGACAACAGUAUUUUUGUAUAACUAC